AAUAGAUACCCAGGUAGUCCACGCCGUAAACGAUGAGUGCUAAGUGUUAGGGGGUUUCCGCCCCUUAGUGCUGCAGCUAACGCAUUAAGCACUCCGCCUGGGGAGUACGGCCGCAAGGCUGAAACUCAAAGGAAUUGACGGGGGCCCGCACAAGCGGUGGAGCAUGUGGUUUAAUUCGAAGCAACGCGAAGAACCUUACCAGGUCUUGACAUCCUCUGAUAACCCUAGAGAUAGGGCGUUCCCCCUUCGGGGGACAGAGUGACAGGUGGUGCAUGGUUGUCGUCAGCUCGUGUCGUGAGAUGUUGGGUUAAGUCCCGCAACGAGCGCAACCCUUGAUCUUAGUUGCCAGCAUUUAGUUGGGCACUCUAAGGUGACUGCCGGUGACAAACCGGAGGAAGGUGGGGAUGACGUCAAAUCAUCAUGCCCCUUAUGACCUGGGCUACACACGUGCUACAAUGGAUGGUACAAAGGGCUGCCAAACCGCGAGGUUGAGCGAAUCCCGAUAAAACCCGAUUCUCAGUUCGGAUUGCAGGCUG
This 536-nucleotide ribosomal RNA is filed under the name uncultured bacterium. RNAcentral describes it as "bacterial SSU rRNA". It matches the Rfam family "Bacterial small subunit ribosomal RNA", at positions 777 to 1307 of the family's 1533-position model. The record is from RNAcentral.